GGGACUCCAAGUGCGAGGGCAUAUAGUCCUCGCUUUUUCCGACCGUAGGAUGGUCGGCGAAUAAGUGCUGGGCAAGACCGGUGCCAGCCGCCGCGGUAAUACCGGCAGCACGAGUGAUGACCGCUAUUAUUGGGCCUAAAGCGUCCGUAGCUGGCCACGCAAGUCCAUCGGGAAAUCUCUCCGCUCAACGGAGAGGCGUCCGGUGGAAACUGUGUGGCUUGGGACCGGAAGAUCCAGAGGGUACGUCUGGGGUAGGAGUGAAAUCCCGUAAUCCGAGACGGACCACCGGUGGCGAAAGCGCUCUGGAAAGACGGAUCCGACGGUGAGGGACGAAAGCUCGGGUCACGAACCGGAUUAGAUACCCGGGUAGUCCGAGCUGUAAACGAUGUCUGCUAGGUGUGACACAGGCUACGAGCCUGUGUUGUGCCGUAGGGAAGCCGUGAAGCAGACCGCCUGGGAAGUACGUCUGCAAGGAUGAAACUUAAAGGAAUUGGCGGGGGAGCACUACAACCGGAGGAGCCUGCGGUUUAAUUGGACUCAACGCCGGACAUCUCACCAGCAUCGACAGUGUGCAGUGAAAGUCAGUGUGAUGAGCUUACUGGAGCCACUGAGA
This 613-nucleotide ribosomal RNA is filed under the name Halostagnicola larsenii. RNAcentral's name for it is "bacterial SSU rRNA". It matches the Rfam family "Archaeal small subunit ribosomal RNA", at positions 375 to 985 of the family's 1478-position model. Lineage: Archaea; Methanobacteriati; Methanobacteriota; Halobacteria; Halobacteriales; Natrialbaceae. The record is from RNAcentral.